CAAUAGCGUAUAUUUAAGUUGUUGCAGUUAAAAAGCUCGUAGUUGGAUUUCGGUUAAGAGCGACCGGUCCGCCGUUUGGUGUGCACUGGUUGGUUUUAACUUCCUGUAGAGGACGUGCUCUGGGUUUAACGACCUGGACUCGGAGUCUACGUGGUUACUUUGAAAAAAUUAGAGUGUUCAAAGCGGGCUUACGCUUGAAUAUUUCAGCAUGGAAUAACACUAUAGGACUCCUGUCCUAUUUCGUUGGUCUCGGGACGGGAGUAAUGAUUAAGAGGAACAGUUGGGGGCAUUCGUAAUUCAUUGUCAGAGGUGAAAUUCUUGGAUUUAUGAAAGACGAACUUCUGCGAAAGCAUUUGCCAAGGAUGUUUUCAUUAA
RNAcentral lists this ribosomal RNA (375 nucleotides) under uncultured eukaryote. RNAcentral describes it as "partial 18S ribosomal RNA". It matches the Rfam family "Eukaryotic small subunit ribosomal RNA", at positions 592 to 976 of the family's 1831-position model. The record is from RNAcentral.